Molecule: small nucleolar RNA, 69 nt
Organism: Nycticebus coucang (slow loris)
Lineage: Eukaryota; Metazoa; Chordata; Mammalia; Primates; Lorisidae
Product: small nucleolar RNA SNORD2
Exons: 1
Source: RefSeq, a predicted model, not a curated record
CAGAGAGAUGAUGGCAAUCACCUUUCGGGACCGACCUGAAAUGAAGAGAAUACGCAUUGCUGAUCACUU